CCCGCUGAACUUAAGCAUAUUAUUAAGCGGAGGAAAAGAAACUAACCAGGAUUCCCUCAGUAACGGCGAGUGAAGCGGGAAGAGCUCAGAUUUAGAAUCUGGGGCCGGGUUCAACCGUGCCUCCGAAUUGUAGUUUUGUGAAGUCGCAUCGCGCGUGCCCGCCCGGGUACAAAUCCUUUGGAAAAGGGUAGCGUGGAGGGUGACAGUCCCGUUCAUGACCCGGGUUUUUUCUUCGUGAAGGGUGCGUCACACGCGUUGCGUGCCUCGUAGAGUCGGGUUGCUUGGGAUCGCAGCCCUAAACGGGUGGUAAAUUCCAUCCAAAGCUAAAUACAGGCGAAAGACCGAUAGCAAACAAGUACCGUGAGGGAAAGAUGCAAAGAACUUUGAAAAGAGAGUCAAAAGUGCUUGAAAUUGUUAAGAGGGAAACGAUCGUGACCGGCUCCCCGUGGCCCCCUGACACUCAGUCCGUCGGCGAGAAGCGGUUGCCGUCUUUCGGGUCGCGACAAACCCCCUUUCAAACCCAGAGCGGACGGGGAGGGGCGGGCCCUCAAAGCCCGCUCCUCUUUCUCCGUCCGCCCGCGAUCCGGUCGAGCCCCGCCGCCGUGGGCGCACUUGUCAGUUGUGGGACGGACCAGCAUCGGUUCGGGGAACGCGGGAGAAGGCCUCACCGGGGGAAGGUGGCGGGCGCUUCACGGCGUCCGCGUUACAGCCUCCGGCCGGGCAACGCCGCUCCCAGAGGACCGAGGGAGUCUUUCUCGACAUUCCACAGCGCACGCCCCCGAUGGCGUGGGAACCCAUCCACCGGUGCCACAGCCGGGCGGGGACAGGGCGGCAAAAAAAACACCGCUCGUGCCCGUUCGCGCUCAGGUGGCGCCGCUUCGGUAGUGGUGUCUCCCAUCCGCGGUGCUUUGCUCAGGAUGCUGGAACUUACGCCGGUCACGACCGACCCGUCUUGAAACACGG
RNAcentral lists this ribosomal RNA (963 nucleotides) under uncultured fungus. RNAcentral's name for it is "eukaryotic LSU rRNA". It matches the Rfam family "Eukaryotic large subunit ribosomal RNA", at positions 24 to 664 of the family's 3401-position model. The record is from RNAcentral. Lineage: Eukaryota; Fungi.